This 634-nucleotide long non-coding RNA is filed under the name Physcomitrium patens. Its description in RNAcentral is "long non-coding RNA (PPAT_LNC001264)". The record is from RNAcentral. Lineage: Eukaryota; Viridiplantae; Streptophyta; Bryopsida; Funariales; Funariaceae.
AAAAGAAAAAUUCACAACACUUUCUUCACACAUAAUAUAUAUAUAUAUAUAUAUAUAUAUAUAUAUAUAAUGAGGUAUGCAUGAUAGCUUUUUAAACCAAAACAUAUACAGAAUAUGCACAUAUCUAUCAAUAUAUAUAUAUAUAUAUAUAUACAUACAAUGAGAUGAAGGCCCAGCAGUAUUUGUUAUACUUCAUUUAUAGUCUUUAAGUUUGCAGUGUUUAUUUUUCAGAAUAAAAUUUGUUAUUCAUGAGUGGAACCUCUGCAAAUGCCUCUCAGGUGGGCGGCAACAAAAAUAAAAGCAGAGAGAAUUUUCUUCUUUCAAUGCAAACAUUUAGAAAAAGUCUCUUGUGGUAUGAUUUUUCCUCCUGACCCAGCCCCUCAAUCCCGCAUCACCUGAGACAUGGAAUGCAAUUAGAAGCCCAGUCCACAAUUCCAAAGUGAGAACACAGCCCCAUUUCGAUUCAUUUAUUCCUUCCCAAUAAAGAAAUAAAGAGAGUUUCUUGCAAAAAUUAAAAAUAUUGGAAGUGGGAGAGCAAGAAGUACAAGUUGGUGGGUAGGUUGGUCAUGGAAAAAGUAUUGUCUCACUUCUCUGUAUUUACAUAUUAAUAGUUAUAAAAUCAUUAAUUUCAACA